Molecule: ribosomal RNA, 388 nt
Filed under: uncultured bacterium
Lineage: Bacteria
Description: bacterial SSU rRNA
Rfam family: Bacterial small subunit ribosomal RNA
Source: RNAcentral
GACGAACGCUGGCGGCGUGCUUAACACAUGCAAGUCGAGCGGUAAGGCCCUUUCGGGGGUACACGAGCGGCGAACGGGUGAGUAACACGUGGGUGACCUGCCCUUAGCUCUGGGAUAAGCCUGGGAAACUGGGUCUAAUACCGGAUAUGACUCCAUGACGCAUGUUGUGGGGUGGAAAGCCUUGUGCGGCUAGGGAUGGGCCCGCGGCCUAUCAGCUUGUUGGUGGGGUGAUGGCCUACCAAGGCGACGACGGGUAGCCGGCCUGAGAGGGCGACCGGCCACACUGGGACUGAGACACGGCCCACGACUCCUACGGGAGGCAGCAGUGGGGAAUCUUGCGCAAUGGGCGAAAGCCUGACGCAGCGACGCCGCGUGGGGAUGACGGCCU